UGUAAAUGCAGUUGCAAUAAGCAAACGUUGCUUUUUUUCCCCAUAUUUCUUAAAGUAUGUAUGAGUAAAGAUUUGAUAAAGUGUGUAUAAGGUCCAAUAACCUCAACUAAAUACAUAAGCUAAUAAUCUAAUUUCAGUUAUUUUUAUGAUGAGAAUUACUGCAGUCAUAUAUGCAUCAGUAUGUGUGAGAUCAUCUGCAAUAUCUCUGUUCUGCUUUUACAGCUGCUAAAUGUAAGCAGACUAUACUUGUAGAGAUGCUCACCUCAGACAAAACGCAUGUGACUACAACACAAACAGCAUCACAGUUCAUUAGUUUUGUUGCUACUUUAAUUGCUUCUUCACUCUGGAUGUAGAGACACAGAGGAGUAACACAUUUUUUCUCUUAACAUGUAACAAAUUUCUUUAAAUAUUUUAAUAUUUUGUAGUAACCAAGGGAAGUGUCAUCGCUGAAGGAAUGGCAGACGUUACUCAGACACUUGUGAACACUGAGCAAUGGUUGGAGUCCAAGACAGUGGACAUCAUCUUUGUUAUACUUCUGACUGGACUAGCAGCGAGCAUUAAAGCCAAUGAGAAAAACUCAAAAGAAGGUACUUUGAAGAAUGCUGGUAAUCAAACCCAAGAAGUUUGUCAGGUAUGGACAGUAUGAAGGGGACUAAAUGAUUUAAAUUUUUUGGGUGAACUCUCUUUAAUUGGCAUGCUACACAUUAAAUAUUAAUCGUGCUGGGCACAGCCACUUAUUGUGCUGUCAUUGCAGUUAGUGCUGUAAAUAGUCUGUCAAAUAAACAGGUACAUUGCUACAACCUAACUUUAAUGUAGUUCACAUUGAUCCAUUACGUUAGACCUUUACUAAUAGAUACUUGUAUAUUAUUUGCUCUUUACAGGUGCAGAAAUUAAAGUUCCCAAAAUAAGAUGUCACCAGAUUAAGAAGUGCAAAGACAUGUUACACCACCGCAACCAUAAAUCCUGAGCGAUUUGAAAAUGGGCAACAACCAAGAAAAAGUACUCAUUGUUUCACUUAAAAAUGAGCCAUGGUAAUAGUUGUUAAUGAUUAGAUAAAUAAAUUAAAGUACAAAAUGUGAUUAAUUUUUAUAAUUUUUACUAAUGUGUUGUUCAAAACACUAAGUUUUGGUGUCUCUUUACAAUAAGUAUUGUUAGUUAACGUUAGUAAAUGUUGAAAUUAACAUUAACAAUGAGCAAUACAUUUGUUACAAUAUGCAUUAAUCUUUGGUACUGUUAUUAAACAACAACUGUUCUUUGUUAGUUCAUGUUAGCUUUGAUCCAUUAAAUAACGUCAACAGACACAACUUUUGUUCUAAAUAAUGUAUUCGUAAAUGUUGAAAUUAACUAGGUUAAUAUAUUAACUACAGUUAACCAAGGUUAAUGUUAAGUAUUUGUCAUGUUAGUUCAUGUUGGGUAGGUAACUAAUGUUAACAAAUGAAACCUU
Cyprinus carpio carpio is the source of this 1444-nucleotide long non-coding RNA. Lineage: Eukaryota; Metazoa; Chordata; Actinopteri; Cypriniformes; Cyprinidae. The record is from Ensembl.